GCCAAAAUAGCUCAGUUGGGAGAGUGUUAGACUAGGGCUCUAAAGGUCCCUGGUCCAAUCCUGGGUUUGGGCA
Molecule: non-coding RNA, 73 nt
Organism: Acanthochromis polyacanthus (spiny chromis)
Lineage: Eukaryota; Metazoa; Chordata; Actinopteri; Pomacentridae
Source: the annotation of a RefSeq genome assembly